UUUUUAAUUUUAUUGUUCUCAAUUUUGAAAUAUUAUAAUUCAUUUACGAUUUAGAAUUUGAAUUAAUUAAUGAAUUUGAUUUCAUAAUACAAUAUAUAAUAUCUUUUCAAGUGAAUGUAUGAAGGAAAUGCAUCAAACUACAUCAUGGACAAUAUCGUGGGCUUCUUUACAAGGACUGUGCCAAUUUAACAUUACUCUUUAGACAUGAUGGGUUUGCCGAGUUCAAGAAAUAGGUAUCUAUUCUGGAGAUAGAAGCCAGCUUGUCCAAAAAUGUGUUCGCUGCGUCAUUUAUCGCUUCAUAUCUCAUAGAACCGUUUCCGUAAGUUAGGAUUUCCCCACAUUUGGCAUUGUACGCGUAGAUGUUAUUCGGAAAUAAAUCCACCACGGAAAACAUAUUGUAUUCUAUACUGCUUUACCAUGCUUAGCCAUAAUAUUGUGAAGCCAGGAAACAGCCGGAAAAAUUGAAUAAUUUCAAGUUUGGCUUCAAGUUCAUGUGUAAUAGCUAUGUAAUGCCUAUUAUUAUUUCUAUUAUAAUAUGUAUUUUUAUUUAACUAUUAUAUAUUCUAACUAUUUUA
Molecule: long non-coding RNA, 575 nt
Organism: Aphis gossypii (cotton aphid)
Lineage: Eukaryota; Metazoa; Arthropoda; Insecta; Hemiptera; Aphididae
Exons: 2
Source: RefSeq, a predicted model, not a curated record